RNAcentral lists this small RNA (738 nucleotides) under Drosophila pseudoobscura pseudoobscura. RNAcentral's name for it is "GA31482". The record is from RNAcentral. Lineage: Eukaryota; Metazoa; Arthropoda; Insecta; Diptera; Drosophilidae.
UCCGUCCCGAUUUCGGUUGAGUUUCGGGCACCGCCUGGCGCCGAGCACCGAGCACCGAGCACCGAGCGCCAAGCGCAUGCAUCAAGUGUAACAUUUGUUCAGUUUCAGUUUUUCCCGGGAACUCGACGCAGCGUGUUGUCUUGGCACCGCUAAGCCAGCGCCAGAGCCAGAGCAACAGCCAGAGUCAGAGCCAAAACCAAGAACCAGAGCCACAGAAGCAGAGCAUCCAAACAGACGGAGCCACAGUGAGAGCCGAAGCCGGAUCCGGAGCCAGAGCCGAGCUCAGCAUCUUCUGGUUCUAAGAAACAUAAUUUUUUGGUUUUUUUUUUUUUUGGAGAUCAAUUGCAAGAUUGUUUUUUGUGUUUUUGUGAGUGCAACUAAUUAAGAGUAUUGUUUUAUGAACAUUAACUGAAAACCAAGGAAAGCAAACAAACGGAAAAGCAAUCCGUUGCCGAAAAGAAAAUUGCACAGGAAACCCACACCCCCAAAAGCAGGUAAACACGAAAAUUGGCGAGGAAAAUUAUCAUCGAGUCACGUAAUUAAAACGAAACGUAAGACGAGCAGAAAGAAGAAGCAGCAGGCGAGUAGCAACAGGCAAAUAUUUGCAUACCACUGGAAGAGCGAGAAAGAGAGAGAGAGAAGGCGAGAGUGUGCGAAGGAAAACGCUAACGGGGCUAAUAAUAAACUAAGGCCCAACUACCGCGUUAGCGUGGCCAUAACCAUUGCCCGUUACGGCUA